AACGCUAGCUACAGGCUUAACACAUGCAAGUCGAGGGGCAGCAUGGUCUUAGCUUGCUAAGGCCGAUGGCGACCGGCGCACGGGUGAGUAACACGUAUCCAACCUGCCGUCUACUCUUGGACAGCCUUCUGAAAGGAAGAUUAAUACAAGAUGGCAUCAUGAGUCCGCAUGUUCACAUGAUUAAAGGUAUUCCGGUAGACGAUGGGGAUGCGUUCCAUUAGAUAGUAGGCGGGGUAACGGCCCACCUAGUCUUCGAUGGAUAGGGGUUCUGAGAGGAAGGUCCCCCACAUUGGAACUGAGACACGGUCCAAACUCCUACGGGAGGCAGCAGUGAGGAAUAUUGGUCAAUGGGCGAGAGCCUGAACCAGCCAAGUAGCGUGAAGGAUGACUGCCCUGUGGGUUGUAAACUUCUUUUAUAAAGGAAUAAAGUCGGGUAUGGAUACCCGUUUGCAUGUACUUUAUGAAUAAGGAUCGGCUAACUCCGUGCCAGCAGCCGCGGUAAUACGGAGGAUCCGAGCGUUAUCCGGAUUUAUUGGGUUUAAAGGGAGCGUAGAUGGAUGUUUAAGUCAGUUGUGAAAGUUUGCGGCUCAACCGUAAAAUUGCAGUUGAUACUGGAUAUCUUGAGUGCAGUUGAGGCAGGCGGAAUUCGUGGUGUAGCGGUGAAAUGCUUAGAUAUCACGAAGAACUCCGAUUG
RNAcentral lists this ribosomal RNA (694 nucleotides) under uncultured bacterium. Its description in RNAcentral is "bacterial SSU rRNA". It matches the Rfam family "Bacterial small subunit ribosomal RNA", at positions 32 to 715 of the family's 1533-position model. The record is from RNAcentral.